Molecule: ribosomal RNA, 120 nt
Filed under: uncultured bacterium
Lineage: Bacteria
Description: partial 16S ribosomal RNA
Rfam family: Bacterial small subunit ribosomal RNA
Source: RNAcentral
GACGAACGCUGGCGGCGUGCCUAAUGCAUGCAAGUCGAACGCUGCUCCUUCGGGAGCGGCGUGGCGCACGGCUGAGGAACACGUGGCUACCUGCCCCGCGGUGGGGGAUAACGGCGCGAA